This 71-nucleotide microRNA precursor is filed under the name Podarcis lilfordi (Lilford's wall lizard). The record is from RNAcentral. Lineage: Eukaryota; Metazoa; Chordata; Lepidosauria; Squamata; Lacertidae.
GGCUUUUCUGGGAGGUGGGGGAAGGGAUAGAGCCACACGCUCUGUCCCUUCCCCCACCUCCUGCAAAAGCC